GGCCCGGUAGCUCAGCUGGUAGAGCAGCGGACUGAAAAUCCGCGUGUCGGGAGUUCGACUCUCCCCUGGGCCACCA
Molecule: transfer RNA, 76 nt
Filed under: Caldinitratiruptor microaerophilus
Lineage: Bacteria; Bacillati; Bacillota; Clostridia; Eubacteriales; Symbiobacteriaceae
Description: tRNA-Phe
Rfam family: tRNA
About the family: Transfer RNA (tRNA) molecules are approximately 80 nucleotides in length. Their secondary structure includes four short double-helical elements and three loops (D, anti-codon, and T loops).
Source: RNAcentral